Molecule: ribosomal RNA, 477 nt
Filed under: uncultured bacterium
Lineage: Bacteria
Description: partial 16S ribosomal RNA
Rfam family: Bacterial small subunit ribosomal RNA
Source: RNAcentral
GAUGAACGCUGGCGGCGUGCCUAAUACAUGCAAGUCGAGCGAACAGACGAGGAGCUUGCUCCUCUGACGUUAGCGGCGGACGGGUGAGUAACACGUGGAUAACCUACCUAUAAGACUGGGAUAACUUCGGGAAACCGGAGCUAAUACCGGAUAACAUGUUGAACCGCAUGGUUCAACAGUGAAAGACGGUCUUGCUGUCACUUAUAGAUGGACCCGCGCCGCAUUAGCUAGUUGGUAAGGCAACGGCUUACCAAGGCAACGAUGGGUAGCCGGCCUGAGAGGGUGACCGGCCACAGUGGGACGGAGAUACGGCCCAGACUCCUACGGGAGGCAGCAGUGGGGAAUAUUGCACAAUGGGCGGAAGCCUGAUGCAGCAACGCCGCGUGCGGGAUGACGGCCUUCGGGUUGUAAACCGCUUUCGCCUGUGACGAAGCGUGAGUGACGGUAAUGGGUAAAGAAGCACCGGCUAACUACGUG